AGUUUAAGUAGUGUAAAUAUAGCACAUUAAGUUGUAAACUUAAAAAAAAAUGAACUUUUAAAGCUU
RNAcentral lists this transfer RNA (66 nucleotides) under Hyalella tiwanaku. RNAcentral's name for it is "tRNA-Tyr". The record is from RNAcentral. Lineage: Eukaryota; Metazoa; Arthropoda; Malacostraca; Amphipoda; Hyalellidae.